AUGCGAAGCGAAGCAGCGAUGUGAAGCAAAUCGCACCAAAGCCGGUCCCAGUUCGGAUAAGAGGCUGAAACUCGCCUCCUUGAAGUCGGAAUCGCUAGUAAUCGCAGAUCAGCAUGUUGCGGUGAAUACGUUUCCUGGUCUUGUACACACCGCCCGUCAAACCAUGAGAGUCGCCAACACCCGAAGUCCGCUUUGCGGCCUAAGGUGGGGGAGAUGAUUGGGGUUAAGUCGUAACAAGGUACC
RNAcentral lists this ribosomal RNA (243 nucleotides) under uncultured bacterium. RNAcentral's name for it is "partial 16S ribosomal RNA". It matches the Rfam family "Bacterial small subunit ribosomal RNA", at positions 1242 to 1500 of the family's 1533-position model. The record is from RNAcentral.